RNAcentral lists this non-coding RNA (25 nucleotides) under Cricetulus griseus (Chinese hamster). Lineage: Eukaryota; Metazoa; Chordata; Mammalia; Rodentia; Cricetidae. The record is from RNAcentral.
AACUCUCUGGAAGAACCAGGCUUGC